GUCUCUGUGGUACAAUUGGUUAGAGCAUUCAGCUGUUAACCGAAAGGUUGGUGGUUUAAGCCCACCCAGGGAUG
Molecule: transfer RNA, 74 nt
Filed under: Mesitornis unicolor (brown roatelo)
Lineage: Eukaryota; Metazoa; Chordata; Aves; Mesitornithiformes; Mesitornithidae
Rfam family: tRNA
About the family: Transfer RNA (tRNA) molecules are approximately 80 nucleotides in length. Their secondary structure includes four short double-helical elements and three loops (D, anti-codon, and T loops). Further hydrogen bonds mediate the characteristic L-shaped molecular structure. tRNAs have two regions of fundamental functional importance: the anti-codon, which is responsible for specific mRNA codon recognition, and the 3' end, to which the tRNAs corresponding amino acid is attached (by aminoacyl-tRNA synthetases). tRNAs cope with the degeneracy of the genetic code in two manners: having more than one tRNA (with a specific anti-codon) for a particular amino acid; and 'wobble' base-pairing, i.e. permitting non-standard base-pairing at the 3rd anti-codon position.
Source: Rfam by way of RNAcentral